Molecule: ribosomal RNA, 207 nt
Filed under: uncultured bacterium
Lineage: Bacteria
Description: partial 16S ribosomal RNA
Rfam family: Bacterial small subunit ribosomal RNA
Source: RNAcentral
CUCGUAGGCGGUUCGUCGCGUCCGGUGUGAAAGUCCAUCGCUUAGCGGUGGAUCCGCGCCGGGUACGGGCGGGCUUGAGUGCGGUAGGGGAGACUGGAAUUCCCGGUGUAACGGUGGAAUGUGUAGAUAUCGGGAAGAACACCAAUGGCGAAGGCAGGUCUCUGGGCCGUCACUGACGCUGAGGAGCGAAAGCGUGGGGAGCGAACA